This 468-nucleotide ribosomal RNA is filed under the name uncultured bacterium. RNAcentral's name for it is "partial 16S ribosomal RNA". It matches the Rfam family "Bacterial small subunit ribosomal RNA", at positions 28 to 507 of the family's 1533-position model. The record is from RNAcentral.
GACGAACGCUGGCGGCGUGCUUAACACAUGCAAGUCGAACGGAAAGGCCCUGCUGUUGUGGUGUGCUCGAGUGGCGAACGGGUGAGUAACACGUGAGUAACCUGCCCUUGACUUUGGGAUAACUUCAGGAAACUGGGGCUAAUACCGGAUAGGAGCUCCUGCUGCAUGGUGGGGGUUGGAAAGUUUCGGCGGUUGGGGAUGGACUCGCGGCUUAUCAGCUUGUUGGUGGGGUAGUGGCUUACCAAGGCUUUGACGGGUAGCCGGCCUGAGAGGGUGACCGGCCACAUUGGGACUGAGAUACGGCACAGACUACUACGGGAGGCAGCAGUGGGGAAUAUUGCACAAUGGGCGGAAGCCUGAUGCAGCAACGCCGCGUGCGGGAUGACGGCCUUCGGGUUGUAAACCGCUUUCGCCUGUGACGAAGCGUGAGUGACGGUAAUGGGUAAAGAAGCACCGGCUAACUACGUG